This 3891-nucleotide long non-coding RNA is filed under the name Carica papaya (papaya). RNAcentral's name for it is "long non-coding RNA (CPAP_LNC000090)". The record is from RNAcentral. Lineage: Eukaryota; Viridiplantae; Streptophyta; Magnoliopsida; Brassicales; Caricaceae.
AUUUAUCGUAAUUUAUAAAUUUGGUUGAUUUUUAAUUAUUAUUUUUUAUUUAAUUUUACAUUUAACCUAUUUAAAUUAAUUUUUAAAAAUUGAGAAAAAUUGAAAAAACAACAAAAUGGGAAGAAAUCCUACGGGAAAAAUCCUACAGGGAAACAAAGCUACCCGCCACAGUAGCCGCGAGACAUGCGCAUAGCGCACACAUCCCAUCUACAUACACACACGCACAACACAAGGACGGGUCUUGCAAGUGUCUUGUUGCGCAUAGGCGGGCCAACUAUGCGUCAACUCACGCGCGGAUUGGUGUCGCACACUGUGGACGCGAAUAGGCCCUGCCCGUUUGGGGCCUGCGCGCAGAAGGCCAGCAAGCACGGCGCUCAGCACGCUUAGGCACUACGAAUGCAGAAGGAGGCCUGUGUGCUAGCAAGCUAGCAUGCAGCGUGCCAGUCGGGGCUUUGCUGCCUCGAGCAUUGCACUAUCACUACCUUGGGCGACGUGCUACUACUACCGUGGAGGAGGCCUUCCUCCCUCGUUUUUCAUGUCGAACAUCUUUUUCUUCUCUCUCUUCACUGAAUUUCACCACUUUAUGUGAAUAUGAUAGUUCCAAAAUUCUAUAAAUAGGCAUUCCCACCCCAUUCUUCCCUACACUUCCAUUCUUUCAUUUUUUUAAACUUAGAGAGAGAAAGAGAGAGAGAGAGAGUAACCUAGUGAGACAAGGAUGAAAAGAAAAGAGGAAUGGUAAAGGAGAAAACAUCAAGGUUUUGGUAAGAAAUUUAGUAUUUAUUUCAAGGUCUUAAGGGAUAUUUUUAGAUAAAAUAAAUUGUUAAACAUGAUGAUUGUGAUUUUGCCUACUUAUACACCUUGUGUUUAUAGUUCAGAUAACUCGAAUUGUUCUUGUUUUCAAGCAUGCUAUGUGAAUUUUAGACACUUGAUGAUUUGCAUAAAAUAAAAUAUAAUAUGAAGUCGGUAUUACUGCCUACUAAAAAUAAAGAAUAAAAAGAAAACGAAAAGAAAAGAGAAAAGUGAAAUGAAACAUGAAUGGUCUGAAAUAUAUGUUUAUAUUGACAUGCAUAUUGCAUCAAGUGUCUCGUUAGACUUUUUAUCUUUGAGGAGUAUCUGUUCCCCUAUCCCUUCGGGGUAUUUGUUUCUCCUUCCCCCAUCUGGUCUGAAAAGACGUAAGAGAAUCACUCCCAGUGGAUGACGACGUACCUUCUAACGAGAGUGGUAACACGAAUAUUUAUUAAGGGUCAUGCUUGACUAAGUACUGUUGUGAUUGUAGAUAUCUAAUAGGGCCACUAUGGUUGGUACGGCUAUAUUCGUAGAUCGUUCCAUGGUUUGGCUAGCUAGAAAUAGGCCUAAACAAAUUGUCAUAUCUGUAUUUGAUCUGGCUAUUCCACUUUGGUAGUUAGAAAUCUGUAUCUACCUUCAGAGAUGGAAAUUGUAAUGACUUUGCGAAGUAUGACACGAAAAUAUGAGCAUUUCAUGAUUUAUUUGAUUUUAUAUAUUAUCUGGCAUGAUGUAUGUUUGUGGGUCUACAUGAUGUUUUCUACAUCUCCAUGCUCAGAAAGUACCGCCCUGACCCUUCUCAUAUCAUUCCUCACGAUGAAGCGUAGGUACAAGCCGAUAUGACUUAUGAUGUUAUUUAAAACUUGUUUUCUUUACUAAGCAUAUAGAACUCACUCUUUCCAUGCCUCCCUCCUAGAUAAAGAAGAGAAUGAUGAACGAUCAGCAAACCUACCCAUUGAAGUUUAUGAGGAUCCUGUGGAUCCACAAAUCUUGAGUGCAUGAUCGUUUCUGCACUCUAAUGAGUCCAAUAACAUAGUAAAAGAAGUAACCUUCUUUUAUAUUUUGCUAUUAUAUUUUGCAGUCACUUAUGACCUCAGUUAUAUGUAUGAAAUUUGAACUCGUAUAUUUAUAAGGGAUUUGUAUUAAUUUGCUCCGCUGUAUGUAAUUUUUAUCAUGUACUCGUAAUUCUAGUUCUGUAUCUGACACCCACAUGCCUUAAUUAGCAUUUAGGAUGUCACAAGUACUUAGCCAAAGGUUACCCCUAACAGAUAUUUACAUCACCACUCUCGUCAGAAGGUACGUCAUCAUCCACAAAGAGCGGUUCUCUCACGUCUUUUCAAACUAGAUGGGGGAGGGAGAAACAAAAAUCUCUCAGAGAUAAAAAGCCUAACGAGAUGCUUGAUGCAUUAUGCAUGUCAAUACAAAUACAUAUAUUUUUUGAACCAUUAAGGCUCAUUCCCCUUCUCUUUUCUCUUUCUUUUUUUGUUAUAUUUUUUAGACAAUAUUACCGGAUUCAUGUUAUUUAAUUUAUAUGAAAAUAAUCAAGUACCUAUAAAUCACAUAACAUGCUUGAAAUCAAGAACAAAUCACUUUAUAGGAACUAUUAAACACAAAACAUGCAAGCACAAAACACAACUUCAUACUUUUUAAAAUGUUAAAAAAUAUACUAAAUUCCUUACCGAAACCUUGAAAUUUUCCUACACAUUUUUUUUUCUUCUUUUCCCCUUCUCUCUCUUUAGAUCACUCCCUCUCUCUCUAAGCUCUUGAAAGAUGGAAGAAUAAAAUGGAAGUGAUGAAGAAAUAAAAAAAAAAAAGGAUCCAUAUUUAUAGAGAAUAGAGACUGUUGAAUGAAAAUCUGGUGAAAAGAAAAAAAGUUGAAUAAAAAAUAAGCGAUUUGACGCAACAUGAUGGCCGUGAAAAUUGGAGGAAAAAUUCCUCCACCAAAAUCGGUUCUGAACCCAAAGUGGUGGCACACCACCCAAGGCAGUGCACGGUGCCUAAAAGGGCAGCGACACAUUACCCAAGGCGACAGUGCACCACACCGUGCUAGCCGUCGCUAUAGGCCUAGCUUGCAGGUGUCGACCAACCCUGCCACACGUAGGAACUAGCCUGCAAGCGCACAAACCUAUCUUGUCGUGCACGUACGCACCGUACGCAAUGCUCGCACGGGGAGCGUCUCCUGCGCGAUUUCUUCCCUCUUUUCGUUUUCUCUUAAAAAUUAUUUUCUUUAAAUAAAAUAAUAUAAAAAUAAAAAUAAUAACAUAUAAAAUUAAAUAAAAAUCAAAAUAUAAAUAUAAAUAAAAAAAUCAAUAUAAAAUUAAAAUUACAAAUUUAAGUUAUGAAUUACAAUAUAAAAUUACAAAAUAAAUUUAAAAAAAUUCAAAUGAACUUAAGGACUGAAUAAAUAAAAAUUUUCAUUUAUAAAUUUAGCACGCGGGGUGUUAUAAAAUCGGUGCUCAUUAAAUAACCCAGACCCCACAAGGGUCCAUUAACCAAAACCCGACCUAGAACGGGGUCCAUUAACUGACUCAGCUCGAUUUGGACCAACCACACUUGAACCUAACUUAGUGGGGGGUCCACUAACUAAAACUCAGCCCAUUCAGGCCCAUUGACUAGGAUUGGGUCAUCAGAUUACCUUCUGAGGGCAAGGCCAAUUUGGUAACCCUCUCGGCCAUUGCCUAAAGGCGACGUAAAAAGCCCAAGCAUUUAUAACAGUUUCUUCCAUUUCCACAACUCAAUUUAAGUGUGCACUUUCAUAUCCACAAAAAAUUCAAAGACAAAAAGACUCGAUAAAAUAUGAUCUUUAAAUAAAGUUCAUUGCAUGCAUGAAAACAAACCAAACAAUCAAGAAAUUUAGUUACCUUUUAAAAAUUUUUAGAUUCUAGAAAACACAAUAGGAGAAUAUGUGAAAAUACUAAGACUCUUAACUAGACCUUCAAGCUUUCAGGUUCAAAAAAUGAGGUUGCUAGCGGUUUGAAGUAGAAAGAAGGUUGCCUGGCAACUUAUGGAUUUUUUAAAAGAUAUUUGAAAAUUUAGAAGAGCUUAAGGGUGAACUCUUGAAGUCUUAAUGAAGAAAGGAUAUCAAGAAGAAAAGAAUAAAGCUUGUCA